CCCCCAUUCUUAACUAAAUAAACCUCCCAUUUUCAAAAGUAAGUAAAAAUAAGCGUGAAUAUAGACUUAGGAUAACGGCUCCUAUAGAGGACUAUAGUUACUCCGGGUGCCUAACACCUUCCCGUAGUAAAACCGACCCCCGAAUCCGGAAACUCAAGGGUUUUUCUCCUUUUACCCUUCCCAAGAAAAAAGAGGGAUAUCAACGGUCAAAAGGUUCAAGUCCAAUUAAUGGCUUGGCACCCAAAAACCAUGAUAACAGAAAUGGCGACUUCACUGGGGACCCUUUUUUAGCGGGUCGCGCCUAGUUUUCCUUAGUUUAUAUUUACGCUUUGUUUUAUUGCUUACAUAUGUGAAUACUUGUUUACUUUCAUUUGACGUGUGGGGUGAGAAUAUCAAAAGUCCUAUACCCGGGCUGAGUGAACUUAUGUUUAGGUAGAGAUAUAAUCGACAAUUCGAUCCGGGGGUUGCCUCGUGUAUUGGAUUAUGCGAUCAAUCUCACAUAGCUGAGGCAUUUUGAAGGUGAUAUUGUCGGCGUGUGUUGUCAUGCUUAGGCACUUCACUUUCAAUUGUUCGACGAAGCUAUGAACCGUAGUUACCAAACCCAUCCUAGCCUUUUUAGGACGUAGUGCGGUGGCUAAAUUGAGUGUUGUCUCAAACUUUAGUCGUCACGCGAUACUACACUCAAACUAGACCUUCUCACAAAUAAUCAUGGAACGGGUGUCGUCCUGUACUACCAUGAUAUAUGUGAGAGAGGUUGCAGUUUGGGAACUGUGUUAGAACCUUGGUUACUACUAUCCAAAGCCUUAGUUCACCGGACGCCGUGUCCAUCCGUGGCCCUGUUACUUUGAAUCUCAAUCCACCUUGUUCUUUGUAACUAAACAAAAACAACCAUGCAUACAUGCAUUCAUGCAUAAGUUUUUUUUUUCACGCAUACAUCGAAGAUUUUUUUAGACAGAUCGAAACAUUGUAAGACAUCGCAGGUGUGAACUUGUAUUCAUAAGUUUACCGUUGUAAAACCUUAUUUUGCUUGUUUAACAGUGUUUACAAUGUUUCGAAUUUGUUUAAAAAGUCCUUCGAUGACAUUAAAAAGAGUCGUUUUUGCAUUUGCAUCUGCAUAUCAUGCAUCAUAUGCAUCAUACAUCGGUCACAAAGGCUUCCAAUUGCUCACUACUUCCUGGUUCCUCUGCCACAGUUUGAAAAGUGGCUCGUGCUCAGAAGGUCUACGAACCUGAUAGAAUCGAUCGAACCAGAGAGUACAGAAGAAGGAAAAAGGCUAUGGAAGAAGAGAACGCUCAGCUCCGUACCGAGUUAGCCACUCUAAGGGAGGAAUUGGCUAAAGCUAAUGAUGUCAUGACUGCUCUGCUAGCCGCUCAAGAACAAUCAGCUACGGCUAUCCCUAUAGCCACAGCUGCACCGGUGACUACAAGCGUGCUCCCAACCACAUCUGCAGACGCUCGCUUUGCUAUGACAGCUGGGUUUCCGUAUGGGCUUCCACCGUUCUUCACUCCCAGUACUGCAGCUGGCGUUUCUGGUACUGUCAAUAAUGGCCAGAUUCCUGGGAAGAACCAUGUCUCUGUCAAUACCACCUUGCCUCAGACAACGGCCACUCUGGAUCGAUUGAGCUAUCGGGGAACUCCCUUGGGAAUGAGCACCUUUCUGGUUAAAGCCUUCGACGGAUCCCGUAAGAACAUUCUUGGGGAGAUAGAUCUGCCAAUAACUAUCUGUCCCGAAACCUUUCUGAUCACGUUCCAGGUCAUGGACAUCAAUGCUGCUCAGCUACCUCCGUCGUACACGUAUGCGCAAUACUCUCAGCAUCCCUUCUUUCCACCAUUCUAUCAUCAGUAUCCUUUGCCAUCGGGUCAACCUCAGGUACCCGUUAAUGCCGUCGUCCAGCGAAUGCAACAACAGCCUCCAGCUCAACAACGACAGCAGCAACAGGCUAGACCUACCUUUCCUCUGAUACCAAUGUUAUAUGCUGAAUUACUCCCGACUCUACUUCUCAAAGGGCACUGCACAACCAGACAGGGCAAGCCUCCACCUGAUCCAUCGCCUCCCAAGUUCCGUUCGGACCUCAAGUGUGAUUUCCAUCAAGGUGCUCUGGGUCAUGAUGUCGAAGGAUGCUAUGCUUUGAAACACAUUGUGAAGAAGCUCAUUAACCAAGGAAAGUUGACUUUUGAGAACAACGUCCCUCAUGUCCUCGACAACCCUCUUCCAAAUCACGCUGCUGUGAACAUGAUUGAGGUAUAUGAGGAAGCUCCCGGACUUGACAUCCGUAAUGUUACAACUCCUCUGGUGCCACUACACAUCAAGUUAUGCCAAGCCUCUCUGUUUGACCAUGACCAUGCCAAUUGCCAAGAAUGAUUCUGUAAUCCUUUGGGUUGUUGCGUUGUUCAAAAUGACAUCCAGAGCUUGAUGAACAACAAUCAUUUGACUGUCAGCGACGUCUGUGUGAUUGUGCCAGUCUUUCAUGAUCCGCCCGUCAAGAGCGUGCCUUCAAAAGAGAAUGUUGAGCCUCUAGUGAUAAGGCUGCCCGGACCAGUACCUUAUACUUCUACAAAGGCUAUUCCUUACAAGUACAAUGCCACAUGAAUCUUCUAUAGUGCUGGGUUUGCCAAUGCAAUUACUGAAAAGACGACUGGAUUUGAUCCUAGGCCUAUGUUUGUUAUACCAGGAGGCAUUGCGAGAAAUUGUGAUGCCAUCAACAUUCAUUCAAUCAUGCAUGUUUCCGAAUAAUGUGUCUUGUUGCUUAAGUGUUUUGUUUUUCAAAAUAACCAUCCUCUCGCUCUGCCCGAAGCGAAAGUGAUAUUUCUGGAAGGGCGUGUUUGUUUCGGCAUCGCCGUUAUUAACAAAAAUCGUCGUUUCUUUCACGACUUUUAUUUUUUUAGUGUUUUUUUUUUCUUUUUUUCUUGGAAAUAAUGGUAAUACCAGAAAAAACCAAAACAUCUUUAUUUUUCUUAUCAAUUUCAAAGAACUGCAUAAAAGAAAAAAAAAACCCUUUUCUAAAAUCAUUCAACCAUUCUAUGCAGUUUGAACCAUAAUAAACCCGUUGAACACAGUAAUCCUACGGUUCCUUCAAAUUUUGAAUUCCCUGUGUAUAAAGCCGAAGAUGAAGAGGAUGAUGAUAUACCAUAUGAGAUCACUCGACUGCUUGAGCAAGAAUCAGCCUAUUGUAUGGAACGAUGAAUGCCGGAAGCUUUUGAUAGCAUCAAGAAUUACCUGCUGGAACCACCUAUCCUUGUCCCUCCCGUGGAAGGAAGGCCUUUGAUUUUGUAUUUGUCAGUGUUUGAUGAAUCUGUGGGAUGCGUGCUUGGUCAACAAGAUGAGACUGGAAAGAAAGAACAUGCUAUCUACUAUCUGAGCAAGAAGUUCACCGAUUGUGAAACUCGGUAUACAAUGCUUGAGAAGACUUGUUGUGCUCUAGCUUGGGCUGCCAAACGCCUGCGUCAUUAUUUGGUGAAUCAUACAACUUGGUUGAUAUCCAGAAUGGAUCCGAUAAAGUAUAUCUUUGAGAAAGCUGCUGUUACUGGGAAGAUUGCACGCUGGCAGAUGCUUUUGUCUGAAUACGAUAUUGUGUUCAAAACUCAAAAGGCAAUCAAAGGUAGCAUUCUUGCCGAUCAUCUUGCUUACCAACCUCUUGAUGAUUACCAACCAAUUGAGUUCGAUUUCCCCGAUGAAGAGAUCAUGUAUUUGAAAUCAAAAGACUGCGAAGAACCGUUGAUUGGUGAAGGUCCAGAUCCCAAUAGCAAGUGGGGUUUAGUCUUUGAUGGUGCUGUCAAUGCUUAUGGUAAAGGAAUUGGGGCAGUCAUUGUAUCCCCAGGGGCAUCACAUUCCUUUUACCGCCCGAAUUCUGUUCGAAUGUACCAACAACAUGGCUGAGUAUGAAGCAUGUAUCUUUGGGAUCGAGGAAGCAAUUGACAUGAGAAUCAAACACCUCGACAUCUAUGGAGAUUCCGCGCUCGUCAUCAAUCAGAUAAAGGGUGAAUGGGAGACCCACCAUGCUAAGUUGAUUCCUUAUCGUGAUUAUGCGAGACGUUUGCUGACAUAUUUUACAAAGGUUGAGCUGCACCAUAUUCCUCGUGAUGAGAACCAAAUGGCUGAUGCUCUUGCUACUCUAUCCUCCAUGUUUCGAGUAAACCAUUGGAAUGAUGUGCCAAUAAUCAAAGUGCAACGCCUUGAAAGACCUUCACAUGUGUUUGCUAUUGGGGAUGUGAUCGAUCAGGCUGGUGAAAAUGUGGUUGACUAUAGACCCUGGUACUAUGACAUCAAGCAGUUCUUGCUGAGCCGUGAGUAUCCGCCGGGUGCUUCCAAACAAGACAAGAAGACCUUGAGAAGAUUGGUCAGUAGAUUCCUGUUAGAUGGAGAGAUUCUGUACAAGAGAAACUAUGACAUGGUAUUGUUAAGAUGUGUUGAUGAACAUGAAGCAGAGCAGUUAAUGCAUGAUGUACAUGACGGUACCUUCGGGACCCAUGCUACAGGGCAUACUAUGUCAAGAAAGUUGUUACGAGCAGGUUAUUACUGGAUGGCUAUGGAGCAUGAUUGCUACCAGUACGCCAGAAAAUGCCACAAAUGUCAAAUCUAUGCUGAUAAGAUCCAUGUGCCUCCGCAUGCUCUCAAUGUUAUUUCAUCCCCAUGGCCGUUCUCAAUGUGGGGCAUCGACAUGAUUGGAAGAAUUGAACCGAAGGCUUCAAAUGGUCAUCGUUUCAUCUUAGUAGCAAUUGACUACUUCACCAAGUGGGUUGAAGCAGCAUCUUAUACCAAUGUGACCAAGCAAGUGGUAGCUAAGUUCAUCAAGAACAACAUCAUAUGUCGAUAUGGUGUUCCCAGCAAGAUUAUUACCGACAAUGGUACCAACCUGAACAACAAUGUGGUGCAAGCUCUUUGUGAAGAAUUCAAAAUUGAGCAUCAUAACUCUUCUCCCUAUAGACCUCAGAUGAAUGGUGCAGUUGAGGCCGCCAACAAGAAUAUCAAGAGAAUUGUCCAGAAGAUGGUAACCACUUACAAGGACUGGCAUGAGAUGUUACCCUAUGCUCUGCAUGGCUACCGUACUACUGUGCGCAGUUCAACCGGGGCAACCCCUUUCUCUCUUGUAUAUGGUAUGGAAGCAGUUCUUCCUUUGGAAGUGGAGAUCCCGUCCCUCCGUGUGAUCAUGGAAGCAAAGUUAUCUGAGGCUGAAUGGUGCCAAAGCCGGUAUGACCAGUUGAAUUUGAUUGAGGAAAAACGUAUGGAUGCCAUGGCUCGUGGACAUUCAUAUCAAGCCAGAAUGAAGACUGCUUUUGACAAGAAAGUCAAUCCUCGAGAAUUCAAGGUAGGGGAACUUGUUUUGAAAAGGAGGAUAAGCCAGCAACCCGACCCAAGGGGCAAGUGGACGCCUAACUAUGAAGGUCCUUAUGUUGUCAAGAAGGCCUUCUCCGGUGGUGCUUUAAUCCUUACACACAUGGAUGGUGUAGAACUUCCAAAUCCAGUGAAUGCUGAUAUAGUCAAGAAAUACUUUGCCUAGAAAUAUGAAAAGAACAGCGUGGUAGGUCGAAAACCCGAAAGGGCGGCCUAGGCAAAAAUGCGCUUCCCGGUGGAUCGAAAACCCGAAAGGGCGGUCCAGGCAAAAAUAAGGGACAAAAAACAAAUAUGAAAAAGCUCGCUGAGAUUGUUCGCAACUCAGGCAAAAAUGAGCGUCUCGAUGAAUCGAAAACCCGGAAGGGCGGUUCAUGCAAAAAUGAGAUUGAAGCAAAAGGCAAGUAACUAUAUCUGGCUAACCACCGUCCCCUUGGGGCAUCUGCAGCUGUUAAUGACCAUCUUCAUCAAAAGCUCCUACACUUGCGAAUUCAAAGUUUCCAGGAAAUGUAAUGAUUACUGUGUUCAAUGUACCACCAACCAAUAAAAUUACCAUUUUCCAAGCUUUGUGAAUCCGUGGAGUCAUGCCUUUGGCUGACCACCACUCUUAUACAUCAAUUUGAGCCUUUGCUUUUGUUUGAAAACUCUAUUUUUUUUCCACUUUCAAAGCUAUAUACAAAACAUUUUCUUUCUAUUUUGAUAAUGACAAUGCUUGAAACAAACAUUUUGAAAAUUGAAAACUUUUUGUCUAUUUUGAAAAGCAAACCUGAGCAACAGGGUACAUUCAAAUGAAACAUGCAUGAGCGAGAGUAUGUUGAUGUCUAUUUCAAUAUAUGUUACAAGCAGGUUCUCCUCCGGGAUAGUCUGUGGUCAAUGGCAAGAAUGAAAAAACAGAAUGAAAAUGCAUGAAAAUAAAUGAGCUCGCUAAGUUGAAAACCCGAAAGGGCGGCUUAGGCAAAAAUGAGCACCCCGCUGGAUUGACAACCCGAAAGGGCAGUUCAGGCAAAAAUGGGGCAUUGAAAAGAAUUUAUCUCCCCGGUGGAUCGAAAACCCGAGAGGGCGAUCCAGGCAAAAAUGGGAUGCAAAAAAAUAAAAAUGAGAAUAUAACAUGCAAAAAGCAUUGACCACAGAUGCAAUGUCUACAACAUGCCCAGCACAACGGCAUUUUCCCCAGUCAGGUCUUCCAAGAUUCUAUCUCCAGCAAGUUGCAUAUCUACCUGCCCUCAGCCUAGGUCCCGAUACGUCUCCCAACGACGUCAUCUCCAAAGAGGAUUUCCAAGAAUGUGUAAUAUAGCACGAGCCACUACGUGCCCAAUACUCUAACGUCUUGUCUUCCCCGUGAAGUCGUGCCUACAAACUGCCAACAGUCAUGCAUUACAAGCAUUCAUACAUGCAUAAUCAUGCAUAUUACGUGCCCAUGCAUUUAAUGAAACUGUUAUAUCAUCCAUACAUAUUGCAUUUCCAAUAUCAAUAUCAGUCUCAAUUCAAAACUCAUGACAGGUCCUUUGUCAAAACCUUGUGAGCCAAUAAUAUCGGUCAAUUUCUACCUUUCAAAUCAAAUCGACGUCAAGUCAAUCUCAAUCUAUAUUUGGUCAAAUAAAAACCAAUCCCCAGUGAAUAUGUUUCUGUUCGGUCAAGUGGCUAGUUCAAGUCCAAGAACAGCUUGUACCUAUCAAUUUGCUUAUGUUGUCGGUCGAGUGCCCAGCUCAAUCCAAGAGCAGCUUGUACCUGUCUAUCUGUUUCUGUCCGGUGGAGUAACCAGUUCGCGUCCAAGAACAAGCUCGCACCUGUCUAUUUGCCUUGCUUUCAGUCGAGUAACUAGUUCGAAUCCUUAAGAACAACUCGUACUUGCCAAUUUUCUCUUUUUCCCAGUCGAGUCACCAGUUCGAAUCCAUAAGAACAACUCGCACUUUCCAAUAUCCCCAAGUGAGUCACCAGUUCGAAUCCAUAAGAACAACUCAUGUUUGUCCAGUAACCUCUAUCCCCUGCGAAGUGACCAGUUCGAAUCCAUAAGAACAACUCGCAGUUGUCUGUUUGUUUCAUCCCCGGUCAAGUGGCUAGUUUGAAUCCAAGAACAGCUUGUACCUGUCCAACUUGUUUCUAGUUUCCCGUUGCUCUGCUAUUCACUAUCUUUGUCAAUGUCUACCAAUCCCGCAAUGGAUACGACAUAUUUUGUUAAUUCCCAUCCCCAUGAGGUCUUGCAUUCAUAAUCCAAAUGAUGCAUGGCAUGCAUAUUAUUUGAAAAUGGGUAGGCGUAUUUUUACGUCCAAACACAGUGCAAAUGCUAAUAUUUAAGUAUCUUCGUCCUGUCAAGCCAAAGACUCCGUCUCUUGACUCUCCAGACAAAGAAACUUAAAUAGGGGCAGCUGUUAUACCCUGUUUUUGGACCUAAAAAUACUGGGCCCAAUUUCAUUUCAAACUUUGUCGAUUAUCAAAUUUCAACUGCACAGUUCAAAUUGUCUCUGCCUCGCAGUAUUUUCAAUCACAAUUUUACCUAUGUUUUUCUUGCAUAAAACCUUUCGAAAUGUCUUUACUUGUCUUGUAAGUCAUUCAAAAGUGUCUCUGAAUCAUUACAUUGCUUUUUCUACAGUUUAUUUCAAAAUUUGCAAAAAGUCAUACAGAAGGGUAUUUUGGUCAUUUCCUGCAGUGGGACCCAUUUUCAUCCUUGUGACUGUCUCUGAGUCUUUUCAGAUUACUUUUAAACAUUUCAUCAGUAAACUUUGUUAAAAUUCAUUUCAAACUUACAUCUGAGUCAGUGUCAAGUCAAUUUGAUUCAGUUUAGGUCGUUUUUAGCCCUAGGGGCAUUUUGGUCAUUUCACAUGAAAUUUUGGCAUGGGGAGGUUACUUUGAAGUACCUCAUUUAGGCCAUUGGUUCGUUUUAGUCCGUUUUGUCAAUUUUAUUUUUGUUUCGCUUUACGUUUGGUCAAAUUACGUUUUUUAUUCAAUUUCAUUUUUAAUUGCAUUUUGGUCCCUCAAUUGAGGUCCCAAAGUUGCAUUUUUAGUCCAGAAUUUUCUUUUUUUUACAUUUCAGUCCUUUUUUGGUCAAUUACAGUUUAGUCCUUAAGUGUUGUUUUUUGCAGAAAAGUCCAUUUUUUGUACAAGGCCGUGUCACUCUUUUUUUUCAGGUCCAGGUGUCACUUUCUCAUUUGUUCAGAGGCACACAUGUCAUGCUAUAAAAGGUGCACAGUGCCACACACGCCAACUCAUAAACACAAAUAAAAGUUUCUUUUUCUCAGCAACUGAAUCAAAAACAGAAAAAUUUCUCAGAUUCAUCAAGAACACCAAGAACAAAACCCUAACCGUUUCCAGAAAGUCACAAAUUCAUCAAGUUUCAGUGUUUUUCGUAUCAAUUCUCAGAGAUUCGUAUGAAUCUUCAUCACUGAAUUGAUUGAUUCUCUGCAAUUCCAAACGCGAGCUCGCAUCAAAGCAAGCUCAAGCGUUGAUCACAGAGAGCCUCUCGCAAAAAAAAAAAUCAAAGAAGCAAGUUCAAACGUAUAAUCAGAGAAAGAAUCGGAGAAGAUGAAGAAACCAAGCCAGUAAACCGAUUUAUUUUCGGUCCAGAGAGAAUCAAAGAACGUUCAAGUUUUCCAAAGAUUUUCUCCUUCAAGAAUCUCAACCAAAUUCAGGUAAAACUCAUUUUUCUCUCUUUAAAAAGUAUAAUCACUGUUAAACCUGCAAACAAGAUCCAAAAAAAAUUUCCAGAAUCAUAAAGAAAAUCAUAACCGUAAACACCAAAACACAAAUCCAUAAGGAUCCAAGUUUUGUAAGCAAGAACAAGCAUCAGAGAAGUAACAAAUACGAGACGAUGUAGAUCCUUAAGAGUAUUGAACGCACGCGUUCAAAACCCUAAAAAAAAAAAAUCAUUUCAAAACCGUUUGGAAAUUCUCCGAUCUACGUCGUUUCAAGCUUUAUUUGUGAAAAUCAAGGUCAGAUUCGUGUUUAGGGUUUAAAGGCGAACAAGAAAAGUGUAAAAAAUUGGAAUUCUGGGUGAUUUGCUCGUCGGAACCCUAACUUCUCACCGGAGAAGAUGAAGUUUCCGGUGGAACCUUCAUCUUCUCCGGCCAACAACCACCGGAGAGAGGUGAGCUGAGAGAGUUUAGAGAGAGAGGCUCUGAACUUAGAGAGAGAAAGAGAGUUUACAAAUGGAAAAAACCGGUGCCAUGCCUUAUAAAUAAGCUAGUGAACCGGACCGGUCCAAGACCGGUCCAGUCCCUUUGUUCCUGGCCGUUUGAUCUAGGGUUUCAGAACCCUGGAUCAAUCGUACGUCCCCUGUGCAUCCGGAUCUUUUGAGUGUGGGCUUUGGUCUGGGCUUAGUUUUUCUGUACGUUUUUUGCUAUUUCCUUGCUAUUUGCACUGCCUGUCUUUGCUACCUGCACCUAUGUCUUGAUUAAAAUUGUGAUAAAAUUCCUAGAAAAAUUAUCACAUGUUUCUUGAUAUUUUCUUAGUGUUUUUAUGACAUUUUUGAACAUUAAGGAUCUAUGAAAUUUUUGUAUAAUUAAUUCAUAGCAUUUUAAUUCUCUUUGAAUUAUUUGUUAUGGAUUCUUCUUCACACAUUUGUCCUUGAUGUGAGAAUAUGUGAUAAAAGCUACUUGAUAUGAUAAUAUGAGAGAUUUGUGCUUAUAAUUUCAUGUUGAUUUGCUGUUUUGAUUUGGUUUAUAAGUUCUUGAUUUUAUGAACAAUAUAUGCAUAUUUUGAAAGAUAUGAAAUGCCAAGUUUAUUCUAGAAAAUAUGGCAUGAAACCAUGCUUGCAUAUUUCCAAUAAUUCCAUGCUAUAACUUGAGAUAAAGAAAACUCUUUCAAAAUUUGUUAGAGCAUGAGAAUUAGAGGCCAAGAAUGCUUUAGGUUUCAUACCUAAGUUUUUAGGGUUUAAUGUCAUUUUGUUAACUUUUUGUGCCAUCUUGCAUGCUUUUAUUUCUUAGUACUUGUUAUGUUUUUUUCUUUUCACUAACAAGUUUAUUUCCAUGUUUCAUGCAUCUCAUUUAGCAUUCCAUCCACCUUCUUUAGUCUAGCAUUUAUUUUUGCAAGUUUUAAUUCAUUUUAGAGAUGUAAUUUACCAUUGGUUUGUAGCUUGGCAAAGAGGCCAUAGAAUGUAUUUAGGAAAUGUUGUAAUAUGGACUAUGGACACUAUGACGCACCGACACGCACACACUCACCUUAGAUGUAUGCAUAGGAUUGUAUGGUUAAAUAAGCGUUUAGGUUUUAAACACUUAGAGAAAAUCCAUCUUUUUUCAAAAAAAACAAUUGAACUUCACUUCAAGAAUUUUCAUAAUAAAUAUGAAGUCAACACUUCAUUUUUUCCCUUUCUUUUUUUCUUAAGGAAAAUUCAAUUCAUCUUAACCAUUUAGACUUUCUUUCUAAUCACUAAACAAACCCCCACUUUUUCAUACUCUAAUGCUCAUGAAGCCUCUCAAUCCCCUUCUUCAAAUCAUUUUCAAAAUUUAAAAUCAAACAAUUAAAACAAAAACAAGUUUUUUAGCAAGAACUACGAACGGUUUUGAUCCCUUAAAAGGGUACGUAGGCAAUGAGUCAAAACUCAUCCAAGCCGAAAUAAAAAAUCAAAGUCUUGCAACUUCUCCCCCCAUUCUUAACUAAAUAAACCUCCCAUUUUCAAAAGUAAGUAAAAAUAAGCGUGAAUAUAGACUUAGGAUAACGGCUCCUAUAGAGGACUAUAGUUACUCCGGGUGCCUAACACCUUCCCGUAGUAAAACCGACCCCCGAAUCCGGAAACUCAAGGGUUUUUCUCCUUUUACCCUUCCCAAGAAAAAAGAGGGAUAUCAACG
Molecule: long non-coding RNA, 11108 nt
Filed under: Medicago truncatula (barrel medic)
Lineage: Eukaryota; Viridiplantae; Streptophyta; Magnoliopsida; Fabales; Fabaceae
Description: long non-coding RNA (MTRU_LNC003528)
Source: RNAcentral